AUCCAGCUGGCGAGUCCCAAAUAAAAUGAAACGCGCGUCCUGGAU
Schistosoma curassoni is the source of this 45-nucleotide non-coding RNA. The record is from Rfam. NCBI's taxonomy places the organism in Eukaryota, Metazoa, Platyhelminthes, Trematoda, Strigeidida, Schistosomatidae.